RNAcentral lists this ribosomal RNA (1101 nucleotides) under Triticum aestivum (bread wheat). RNAcentral describes it as "partial small subunit ribosomal RNA". The record is from RNAcentral. Lineage: Eukaryota; Viridiplantae; Streptophyta; Magnoliopsida; Poales; Poaceae.
AUGUUCAAUACUAUCAUAGAAAGCUUGGAUCUUAGAGAGAUAGAGCUUUCAUGUAGGAAAUUCACUUGGGAAAACUCGCUACCGGUUCCGACUUUUGAGAAGCUCGAUCGUGUUUUGGCGAGCGUCGAUUGGGAACAGAAGUUUCCUCUGGUAACGGUGCAUGCAUUGACACGAGGUAUCUCGGAUCACACACCGUUACUAGUCGACUCUGGAGCUCAAACUCAUAUGGGUAAUAAGAAUAUUUUUUCCUUCGAACUUGCCUGGUUUGAAAGAGAAGGGUUUAUUGAGUUGUUAGCUAGAGAGUGGGCUAAAGACUCGGGGGGAAGGUCACCCAUUGAGCGGUGGCAGUGCAAGAUUCGUCAUCUUCGAAGGUUCCUUCGUGGAUGGGCUAAGCACACGAAUGGGAUAUAUAAGGCUGAGAAGGAAAGACUCCUUAUGCUUAUUCAUUUCCUUGAGUUAAAAGCUGAAACCUCUAUUUUAGAUACUUCCGAGCUGGAGUCUAAAGUGGAGGCCGAGUUGAGGUUGAAAGCACUUCUCUGCGAGGAGGAAUUGAAAUGGGCUUUGAGAGCUAAGGUUCGUAAGGUUGUCCAACGAGAGGACAACACUCAAUUCUUUCAUAUGAUUGCUAAUGGAAAGCAUCGUAAGAAGAGAAUUUUUCAAUUAGAACAAGAUGAAGGGACGAUAGUUGGUCAGGAAAACCUAAAAGUUUACAUUACCAACUAUUAUAAGCAGUUGUUUGGCUCUCCGGAAGAGAGUUUUGUGUCUCUGGAUGAGUCAAGAGUUGAGGAUGUUUCCCAACUUGAGACGGAAGAGAAUGAGAUUUUGACUGCUCCUUUCACGGAGAAAGAGGUGUUUGAGGCUAUUUCACAAAUGAAGAACAAUAAAGCGCCAGGACCAGAUGGGUUUCCAGCGGAGUUCUACAAAAAGUGCUGGCAUUUUAUUAAGUGUGACCUGUUGCCGAUGUUUCAUGAUUUGUUCAAUGGUCAGCUUCAUUUGUUCAAGCUCAAUUUUGGAACGAUAACUCUUCUUCCUAAGAAGACGGAGGCUAUUCGCAUUGAGCAGUUCAGGCCUAUCUGUUUGCUUAAUGUUAGUUUCAAAAUU